UAAGGAAUAUUGCUCAAUGGGAGAAAUCCUGAAGCAGCAACGCCGCGUGGAGGAUGAAGGGUCUAUGACUUGUAAACUCCUGUAAAGAAGGAAAAAAUUCCCAUUAGAUGGGAGAUGAUGGUACUUCUGGAGUAAGCCCCGGCUAACUACGUGCCAGCAGCCGCGGUAAUACGUAGGGGGCAAGCGUUGUCCGGAUUUACUGGGUGUAAAGGGUGCUCAGGCGGAUUUGUAAGCCAGAGGUGAAAUCUUACAGCUUAACUGUGAAACUGCCAUUGAUACUGCAAGCCUAGAGUAUGGAAGAGAGUGAUGGAAUAUCUGGUGUAGCAGUGAAAUGCGUAGAUAUCAGAUAGAACACCAAUGGCGAAGGCAGUCACUUGGUCCAUUACUGACGCUAAAGCACGAAAGCGUGGGUAGCAAACA
Molecule: ribosomal RNA, 420 nt
Filed under: uncultured bacterium
Lineage: Bacteria
Description: bacterial SSU rRNA
Rfam family: Bacterial small subunit ribosomal RNA
Source: RNAcentral